AGAGUUUGAUCCUGGCUCAGAACGAACGCUGGCGGCGUGCCUAACACAUGCAAGCCGAACGUGAAAGUCCUUCGGGAUGAGUAAAGUGGCGCACGGGUGAGUAAUGCGUAGAUAAUCUGCCUGAUGAUCUGGGAUAACAUCUCGAAAGGGGUGCUAAUACCGGAUAAGCCCACGGGCUCUUCGGAGCUUGCGGGAAAAGGGGGGGACCUUCGGGCCUUCUGUCAUCAGAUGAGUCUACGUACCAUUAGCUAGUUGGUAGGGUAAAGGCCUACCAAGGCGACGAUGGUUAGCUGGUCUGAGAGGAUGAUCAGCCACACUGGAACUGAGACACGGUCCAGACUCCUACGGGAGGCAGCAGUGGGGAAUUUUGCGCAAUGGGGGAAACCCUGACGCAGCAACGCCGCGUGAGUGAUGAAGGCCUUCGGGUCGUAAAGCUCUGUCAGAGGGAAAGAAAUGUGGGGCGCUAAUACCGUUACCACUUGACGGUACCCUCAAAGGAAGCACCGGCUAACUCCGUGCCAGCAGCCGCGGUAAUACGGAGGGUGCGAGCGUUGUUCGGAAUUAUUGGGCGUAAAGCGCGUGUAGGCGGUUUUAUAAGUCUGAUGUGAAAGCCCCGGGCUCAACCUGGGAAGUGCAUUGGGUACUGUAAGACUUGAGUACGGGAGAGGGCAGUGGAAUUCCUAGUGUAGGAGUGAAUUCCGUAGAUAUUAGGAGGAACACCGGUGGCGAAGGCGGCUGCCUGGACCGAUACUGACCGCUGAGACGCGAAAGCGUGGGUAGCAAACAGGAUUAGAUACCCUGGUAGUCCACCCCGUAAACGAUGAGUACUAGGUGUUGCGGGGUAUUGACCCCUGCAGUGCCGCAGCUAACGCAUUAAGUACUCCGCCUGGGAAGUACGGUCGCAAGACUAAAACUCAAAGGAAUUGACGG
RNAcentral lists this ribosomal RNA (930 nucleotides) under uncultured delta proteobacterium. Its description in RNAcentral is "bacterial SSU rRNA". It matches the Rfam family "Bacterial small subunit ribosomal RNA", at positions 8 to 916 of the family's 1533-position model. Lineage: Bacteria; Deltaproteobacteria. The record is from RNAcentral.